This 217-nucleotide long non-coding RNA is filed under the name Elaeis guineensis (African oil palm). Its description in RNAcentral is "long non-coding RNA (EGUI_LNC060529)". Lineage: Eukaryota; Viridiplantae; Streptophyta; Magnoliopsida; Arecales; Arecaceae. The record is from RNAcentral.
GCUGGGCUGGGCUUGGUUGGGCUAUCACAGAAAAUAUGUAAGAAAAUUAAGAUAAGUAAGAAAGAAGGACUCUCCUACCUUAUCUCCCAAAAUAAAUGUGACGCCAAUUUAAUUAUUGCAUGUGGUUUUGGUGUGGAGGAGGUUUAUUUAUAUGAAACUCUUCCAUAUAAACCAGAUAAACCAACUAAUAAUUAGAUAGUUCAAAUCCAAUCUCAUU